This is a long non-coding RNA of Lathyrus oleraceus (garden pea), 1092 nucleotides long. RefSeq lists it as uncharacterized. The transcript has 3 exons. The record is from RefSeq and is a predicted model, not a curated record. Lineage: Eukaryota; Viridiplantae; Streptophyta; Magnoliopsida; Fabales; Fabaceae.
CAAACAAACUAAACCUACUAAGCUAUACAUUCUCCAUCCAGAAGAUGAUGUGCCGCUUGGAAUGCUUCACCAUGUUUCAGCUUUGCACCGCGCCUUCGAAAUCCGAGCGGAGACGAGAUGAAGAAACAAGCUCCGACGUUCAAUCCAUUUCGACAUCCAGAUUAGUUUAUCGUUGUGUGCACGCGCGGUAUGAGGGGAAACGAAACCGAAACACAGUGCGAAUGGAAUUGGAAUGAGAAAACAUACCGAAUCGAAGUGCCGACGUGUUAGCUACAGAAUUGAGAAUUAUAGCGAGGUCGGGAAUUGAAAAACGGAUCAUGAAGAUGCUGAUGAAGAUUGCAGGAUGAGUCGAUAAUGAGGAAGGGAGAUUGCAGUUUUUAUGCAGGGAGCUGUUUCACGAACACGACACAGGGAAUUGAAGAUUGAUAAGUUCUGCAGGUUUUCCCUCUUUUGGAAUCCACGUACGAGCUUGAACAGAGAAGAAGAUGAAGAAUAACAGUGCCAUAAUUAAUGAAUUGAAGCGUUGACACGAAUAGGCACCGUACUGUUUAUUUCUUAUUUUUGAUGCUCUUGCUUGUUGUUGUGACGCAGAGUGAAGAUGGCGAUUAUGGUGAAUUGUUGUGAGGAUGUGAGAAGGAUUGAGAAUCAGUAUUCAAGGUUGAAACGAAAUGAAGGAUGAAGAGGAAGAGUGAAAAGAGAUGAAGAAGGGUGGUUAUAGAAUGACGAAGAAGCCCCAUUUGUGAUGGAAUGAGUAGGUUAGGAGCUGAUCCGGUUUUGUUGAAUCCUUCGGUAUGCUUUAUGCUGCAAUUGGAGGGCCAUACUUGCUGUUGGAGCUUGGACAUAGUAUGCUAUGUGGAUUGACUUCACUUGUUUAGGAUUAGAUCAAUAGGUUGUAUUAUGGAUUUAUUGAUAUUGUAAUGACAUGUUUAUGGAAUGGAGUUAGUAUGGGAUGUGAAUCAUGGAACUAAGUUAGGGAAUUCUUAUUGUAUGGAAUUGAGAUUGAAGUUGUGCAUUGAAUCGUGUAUUGAAUGCUUGAACGUUAUGGAAAUUUUGAAGUUUCAUGAAAUGGAAUUGAUAUUAUAUUUGCAUUGA